Hydra vulgaris (swiftwater hydra) is the source of this 529-nucleotide long non-coding RNA. RefSeq lists it as uncharacterized. NCBI's taxonomy places the organism in Eukaryota, Metazoa, Cnidaria, Hydrozoa, Anthoathecata, Hydridae. The record is from RefSeq and is a predicted model, not a curated record.
UGUAUUUUGUUUGGAUUGUUCAACUACAAGCUUGAUUCUCACUGUUUCUACUACUGUUUUUAGUCUGUAGAUUCUCUAAACUGUUUUUUUCAAAACAAAAAGAAAUAGUAAUCAACUAAACUUUUAGUCUAAAGUUUACAAAAUGGAAAUGUGCUGUGAACUUAACAAUCUACGUGAAAUGGUGGUUCAAUCUAUAAGUCAAGAAUGUAGAGUUCUGCUGUUACACCUACUAUUAUGUUGUAAGUACUCAAAAUUUCAGGAAGUUCUGUUGCUGCAAGUUAUUUUCAUUCAAAUUUGAAUUUUAGUUUUAUUAAAGAAUCUUCUGUCUGUUAAAUAGGUGAUUCUGAAUGAUUUAUUUCAAUGCCCUUACGCAGUGAUUUACUAAUCGGUUUGUAAAUAAAGCAAUAGUUUUAAACAGAUGAAUUAAUUGGAUUCCACGAUCCUUUAUGCAUAUAGCAUGAAGUUUUAUAAUAUAACCUAAAUUUUUUUCUUUUUUUUUCUAAAAGAUUUAAAUCUAAAUUCAUUUUUA